This is a long non-coding RNA of Myotis brandtii (Brandt's bat), 685 nucleotides long. RefSeq lists it as uncharacterized. The transcript is spliced from 2 exons. The record is from RefSeq and is a predicted model, not a curated record. Lineage: Eukaryota; Metazoa; Chordata; Mammalia; Chiroptera; Vespertilionidae.
UAUCCCCACCCCCUGGUCUAAAAACACGUCUCUUCAGGGCAGGAGGAUGGUUUCUGAAUGGCCUUUCUGCCCUGAUUCUCUGUCUCUUUUCUUAGCUUUUCACUGCGUCAUUGGUUGAUGGGGCGCAGCGUCCCAGGACCCCCGCUAAGGCCCUUUCUUCCUCCGUCGUCCGUGUCGGAGGAGCUUCUCCAGGGAGGCCCUUCCUUCCUCCUUUGUCACCUUUGAGGAAAGUCACUUCCCGUGCUGUGGUCUCUGACGGCUGGGGCGCCACCCCCACCUUCCCGCGGCCUGUUUGGGAUGGAGACAUACUCUGUACUUGUGUGGAAGUAGCUUUAACUAGUUUAUCUCCCCUUCUCUGGUCCCCGUGGGGGGAGGGGACGGAGGCAGCAGUCGGUCGCCCGCACGGCCUGAGCAGCUCCUGCUUGCAGAGCUCUGCUCCCCUCACUGCCGGGGACGGCAGCGCAUGGCAGGCGGUGAGUGACCUCAAAUUCCCCCGUCCGUCCAGCCGCACCGUGUGCAGCCUCGCUCACCUCUGCCCUGGCUCACUGACAGGCUGUCACUGCCGUCGUCUGAGCUUAACCAUCGUCUGACGAUGGUGAGAAAUCGGGUCUCGGCGUCGGGUGGUGGUGGGCUUUGUACAUUCAGUACAUUCUUCCGGAACACGGAUGAAGGUUUUAAAAAAAAA